UACGUAGGGGGCAAGCGUUGUCCGGAAUCAUUGGGCGUAAAGCGCGCGUAGGCGGCCCUGUAAGUCCGUUGUGAAAGUCAAAGGCUCAACCUUUGAAAGCUGAUGGAUACUGCAGGGCUAGAGUCCGGAAGAGGCGAGUGGAAUUCCUGGUGUAGCGGUGGAAUGCGCAGAUAUCAGGAGGAACACCAAUAGCGAAGGCAGCUCGCUGGGACGGUACUGACGCUAAGGCGCGAAAGCGUGGGGAGCGAACAGG
This 253-nucleotide ribosomal RNA is filed under the name uncultured bacterium. Its description in RNAcentral is "partial 16S ribosomal RNA". It matches the Rfam family "Bacterial small subunit ribosomal RNA", at positions 524 to 776 of the family's 1533-position model. The record is from RNAcentral.